GCAGAGUGGUGUCUAACGGCUUGAUAAACAGACUGUUAUUCUGCAGACGCACAUCGCCUUUCGCGGUGGUCAUUUCGCCAUCUAAAGGGAUGUUAAGAUGUAAGCGAGCGCUCACAUCCCCGUCCAGCUGCAGGGAAUCCAGCGCCGCUCCCAGGGUCUCUUUCAGCGGCGUGGUGUUGAAAUAAGGUCCCACCUCUUUGCCCGGGCCUUUGAUAUCGGCAUCAAUCAACAGCUUUUCAGCGGUAUAGUCCGGGAUCGCGGCAUCGAGAUUGCUGGCGGUGACAUUGCCGAGCAUCGCUUUAUCCGCCCGCAUCCACAACCCGUUAUUGAUGAAGUUGAGGUCGAUGUUCAGCCCGGUCAGCGCCGGCCAGUCCGGCUGGAAGGCAAAAGUGGCGUUCUUCAGCGGG
Molecule: non-coding RNA, 407 nt
Filed under: Klebsiella variicola
Lineage: Bacteria; Pseudomonadati; Pseudomonadota; Gammaproteobacteria; Enterobacterales; Enterobacteriaceae
Source: RNAcentral